This is a long non-coding RNA of Papaver somniferum (opium poppy), 857 nucleotides long. RefSeq lists it as uncharacterized. The record is from RefSeq and is a predicted model, not a curated record. The transcript is spliced from 2 exons. NCBI's taxonomy places the organism in Eukaryota, Viridiplantae, Streptophyta, Magnoliopsida, Ranunculales, Papaveraceae.
CCUCAAUCACUUUUCUUCAAAAAAUUUCCAGAUUCUUCCAGCAACAAUUUUGAUCCAAUUUUACUUCAAAUUUUAUUGACUUAUCGAAAUACAUCAAUCUCUAAUUUCAUUUUGUUCGAAAUUAGAAAAAUCGCGUUAUCAAUUGUUUGCUAAAUCGAUCGAAUUGAUUCGAUUAAAAAUUUUACACUUCAGUUUGAUAACGAGUUCAGGUUAUACAGACAAUCUCUCGAAAUUAAGUUAAUUUGAAGAAACUCACUGAAAAGGCUAAAAGAAAAAAAAAAACAGAGAAUGGUCGGGAAUGGAGUUGAUGUUUUCUAUUUGGUUUUUUCUUUGGAGGUGACGGAACUGCUAUUCUCACUGGUGUUUGAUGAAAUUCCUCACAGAACCAAAUACAUGGUAAUGGAUUGUUUAAAGGAGAUCUUGUAUGGAGUUUUAUUGAUUCACGAAUUUGAAUGGUAUUGGUUCAUAUAGAACUUGAUGUAUUUGUACUUGCAUAUAUGCUUAAGUGGUAUUGGUAUUAAAUAUGACGGUUCAUUUCAGUGGAGAAAAGAUGCUUUGGGAAGACAGUAAAAGUAGCAGAAAGAUUUAGUGCCGCAAUGUACAACUGCGCAUCCAUUGGUGAAAAUGAUCAUGGGCUGUGAACUUUAUUAUGUACUGGACUACCGUCUAUGCUCUGCUAAAUGAACUUGUAAUUCUCCUACUGACAAAUGACAAUAUACUGCUUGUAAUUUAUGUCUAUGCUCUGCUAAAAGAGCUUGUAAUUAUCUUGCUUACAAGUGACAAUAUACUGAUUGUAAUCGGUGUAUGCUCUGCCAAAAGAGCUUCCAUCAAAUACAAUUUGCUGCUACUGUUAAACA